Molecule: long non-coding RNA, 347 nt
Filed under: Setaria viridis
Lineage: Eukaryota; Viridiplantae; Streptophyta; Magnoliopsida; Poales; Poaceae
Description: long non-coding RNA (SVIR_LNC006308)
Source: RNAcentral
UAUCAAGCAGGAGAGUGGUCUUGAGUCUCUGGUGAGAGCACCAGCGCAGAAGGGAGGCUUCCAAUCAUACACCGCCUGGCUGGUUCUUUCGGUGGUUCUGCUACUGCUCCUCUCUGUUGGGGUAUAUGGUUGGAUGUGAAAGCUGUCCUGGUGCGGUAUGAGGUGUUAUGUUUUGCGCACACAGGUUCCUGGCAUCGACCUGGUGGUGUUUAGUCAUGUGUACAUAGUCUGUCAUACAGCAUGGGUUUAUAGGGCUGUAUGACAUCCGAUGUCUGUUCUCCCUCCAGCAAGCCGAGGCAGCUGCAAAUCAAAAAAAGAAGUAGCAUGUUAGGAGGAGCAAAAAAAAA